RNAcentral lists this ribosomal RNA (434 nucleotides) under uncultured Lachnospiraceae bacterium. RNAcentral describes it as "partial 16S ribosomal RNA". It matches the Rfam family "Bacterial small subunit ribosomal RNA", at positions 341 to 792 of the family's 1533-position model. The record is from RNAcentral. Lineage: Bacteria; Bacillati; Bacillota; Clostridia; Lachnospirales; Lachnospiraceae.
ACAGGAGGCAGCAGUGGGGGAUAUUGCACAAUGGGGGAAACCCUGAUGCAGCGACGCCGCGUGAGUGAAGAAGUAUUUCGGUAUGUAAAGCUCUAUCAGCAGGGAAGAUAAUGACGGUACCUGACUAAGAAGCCCCGGCUAACUACGUGCCAGCAGCCGCGGUAAUACGUAGGGGGCAAGCGUUAUCCGGAUUUACUGGGUGUAAAGGGAGCGUAGACGGCAUGGCAAGUCUGAUGUGAAAACCCGGGGCUCAACCCCGGGACUGCAUUGGAAACUGUCAGGCUAGAGUGCAGGAGAGGUAAGUGGAAUUCCUAGUGUAGCGGUGAAAUGCGUAGAUAUUAGGAGGAACACCAGUGGCGAAGGCGGCUUACUGGACUGUAACUGACGUUGAGGCUCGAAAGCGUGGGGAGCAAACAGGAUUAGAUACCCUGGUA